RNAcentral lists this long non-coding RNA (337 nucleotides) under Struthio camelus australis. RNAcentral describes it as "lncRNA (ENSSCUG00000000297.1)". Lineage: Eukaryota; Metazoa; Chordata; Aves; Struthioniformes; Struthionidae. The record is from RNAcentral.
CUUGGUGUCUCCCCACCUGCAACUCCCUUGGACCUUCACUUUCAUCCCUUCAUUCUUUGUUUCAUUCGACUAAUAAAAACCUAUUUCCUUCUCUCAACAGAGAUACUGGAGCGCAGCCCAUGAGUUGGGAGUGGAGGAAAGGAAAAGCUGCAGCUUGGCUUCUUCUCUCUGACCACUAGCCAGCUCCAUAUCUCAGGAUGGAUCCAGCAGGAACAUGGGAGCUGACAUGCAAGAAGCCCCAGUGCUCUGCCAAGGCCACACAGGUUACUGUUCCUCUGGGGAGAGAUGGGGAGGAGAGGUCCGUGCAUGGCUAUUAGGCAGCUCUUCUGUGACAUGA